UACGUAGGGUGCAAGCGUUAAUCGGAAUUACUGGGCGUAAAGCGUGCGCAGGCGGUGAUGUAAGACAGUUGUGAAAUCCCCGGGCUCAACCUGGGAACUGCAUCUGUGACUGCAUCGCUGGAGUGCGGCAGAGGGGGAUGGAAUUCCGCGUGUAGCAGUGAAAUGCGUAGAUAUGCGGAGGAACACCGAUGGCGAAGGCAAUCACCUGGGCCUGCACUGACGCUCAUGCACGAAAGCGUGGGGAGCAAACAGG
RNAcentral lists this ribosomal RNA (253 nucleotides) under uncultured bacterium. Its description in RNAcentral is "partial 16S ribosomal RNA". It matches the Rfam family "Bacterial small subunit ribosomal RNA", at positions 524 to 776 of the family's 1533-position model. The record is from RNAcentral.